Camelina sativa (false flax) is the source of this 188-nucleotide non-coding RNA. NCBI's taxonomy places the organism in Eukaryota, Viridiplantae, Streptophyta, Magnoliopsida, Brassicales, Brassicaceae. The record is from RefSeq and is a predicted model, not a curated record.
AAAAUCUCUACAAGUAAUAUGCAUCUCUUUGAUAAAAAAAGGUGUUCUAAAGAAAUAUGCAUCUCCAGAACAAAUCCUUGAAGAGUUCUUUGAUGUACGGCUUGAAUUCUAUGAGAAGAGAAAGGAUACUAUGCUGAAGAAUCUGGAACUUGAGCUGCAGAAACUAGAAAACAAAGUAAAGUUCAUUC